AACGAACGCUGGCGGCAGGCCUAACACAUGCAAGUCGAGCGAGGUAGCAAUACCUAGCGGCGGACGGGUGAGUAACGCGUGGGAACGUGCCCCUUGGUACGGAAUAGCCCCGGGAAACUGGGAGUAAUACCGUAUGUGGUCGAGAGACGAAAGAUUUAUCGCCAAGGGAUCGGCCCGCGUUGGAUUAGGUAGUUGGUGGGGUAAUGGCCUACCAAGCCGACGAUCCAUAGCUGGUUUGAGAGGAUGAUCAGCCACACUGGGACUGAGACACGGCCCAGACUCCUACGGGAGGCAGCAGUGGGGAAUCUUAGACAAUGGGGGAAACCCUGAUCUAGCCAUGCCGCGUGAUCGAUGAAGGCCUUAGGGUUGUAAAGAUCUUUCAGGUGGGAAGAUAAUGACUGUACCACCAGAAGAAGCCCCGGCUAACUCCGUG
Molecule: ribosomal RNA, 433 nt
Filed under: uncultured bacterium
Lineage: Bacteria
Description: bacterial SSU rRNA
Rfam family: Bacterial small subunit ribosomal RNA
Source: RNAcentral